AGAAUCAACGCUGGCGGCGUGCCUAACACAUGCAAGUCGAACGAGAAAGUGGGAGCAAUCCCACGAGUAAAGUGGCGCACGGGUGAGUAACACGUGACUAACCUACCCUUGAGUGGGGGAUAACCUAGGGAAACCUGGGCUAAUACCGCAUAAUACCUACGGGUCAAAGGAGCAAUUCGCUUAAGGAGGGGUCGCGGCCGAUUAGUUAGUUGGCGGGGUAAUGGCCCACCAAGACUGUGAUCGGUAUCC
RNAcentral lists this ribosomal RNA (249 nucleotides) under uncultured bacterium. RNAcentral describes it as "partial small subunit ribosomal RNA". It matches the Rfam family "Bacterial small subunit ribosomal RNA", at positions 26 to 288 of the family's 1533-position model. The record is from RNAcentral.